RNAcentral lists this ribosomal RNA (481 nucleotides) under uncultured bacterium. RNAcentral describes it as "partial 16S ribosomal RNA". It matches the Rfam family "Bacterial small subunit ribosomal RNA", at positions 28 to 507 of the family's 1533-position model. The record is from RNAcentral.
GAUGAACGCUGGCGGCGUGCCUAACACAUGCAAGUCGAACGGAGAUUACGGACGGAAGUUUUCGGAUGGAAGACUGUAAUUCUUAGUGGCGGACGGGUGAGUAACGCGUGGGCAACCUGCACUAUCAAGGGGGAUAGCCGCUGGACACGGCUGGUAAGACCGCAUAAGUCGGCGAGACCGCAUGGUUUUGCCGGGAAAUGAGCGAUCCGGUAUAGGAUGGGCCCGCGUCCGAUUAGCCAGUUGGUAGUGUAAAAGCCUAGCAAAGCAACGAUCGGUAGCCGGACUGGGAGGUGGGACGGCUAGAAUGGGGCUGAGGCACAGCCCAAACUGCGACGGAGGGCAGCAGUAGGUUGUAUUACGCGAUGAAGGAAACUCUAAUGCAGCCGCGCCGCGGGAGUGAAGAAGUAGGUCGGAAUGUAAAUCUCUAUGAGCAGGGAAGAUGAUGACGGUACUGGACGAAGAAGCCCCGGCUAACUACGUG